RNAcentral lists this ribosomal RNA (437 nucleotides) under Salmonella enterica. Its description in RNAcentral is "partial 23S ribosomal RNA". It matches the Rfam family "Bacterial large subunit ribosomal RNA", at positions 85 to 561 of the family's 2925-position model. Lineage: Bacteria; Pseudomonadati; Pseudomonadota; Gammaproteobacteria; Enterobacterales; Enterobacteriaceae. RNAcentral also lists the same sequence under 1 other name. The record is from RNAcentral.
GGUGAUAUGAACCGUUAUAACCGGCGAUACCCGAAUGGGGAAACCCAGUGUGACUCGUCACACUAUCAUUAACUGAAUCCAUAGGUUAAUGAGGCGAACCGGGGGAACUGAAACAUCUAAGUACCCCGAGGAAAAGAAAUCAACCGAGAUUCCCCCAGUAGCGGCGAGCGAACGGGGAGGAGCCCAGAGCCUGAAUCAGCAUGUGUGUUAGUGGAAGCGUCUGGAAAGGCGCGCGAUACAGGGUGACAGCCCCGUACACAAAAGCGCAUGUGCUGUGAGCUCGAUGAGUAGGGCGGGACACGUGGUAUCCUGUCUGAAUAUGGGGGGACCAUCCUCCAAGGCUAAAUACUCCUGACUGACCGAUAGUGAACCAGUACCGUGAGGGAAAGGCGAAAAGAACCCCGGCGAGGGGAGUGAAAAAGAACCUGAAACCGUGU